Molecule: ribosomal RNA, 497 nt
Filed under: uncultured bacterium
Lineage: Bacteria
Description: partial 16S ribosomal RNA
Rfam family: Bacterial small subunit ribosomal RNA
Source: RNAcentral
GAUGAACGCUGGCGGCGUGCCUAAUACAUGCAAGUCGAGCGAACAGACGAGGAGCUUGCUCCUCUGACGUUAGCGGCGGACGGGUGAGUAACACGUGGAUAACCUACCUAUAAGACUGGGAUAACUUCGGGAAACCGGAGCUAAUACCGGAUAAUAUAUUGAACCGCAUGGUUCAAUAGUGAAAGACGGUUUUGCUGUCACUUAUAGAUGGAUCCGCGCCGCAUUAGCUAGUUGGUAAGGUAACGGCUUACCAAGGCGACGAUGCGUAGCCGACCUGAGAGGGUGAUCGGCCACACUGGAACUGAGGCACGGUCCAGACUCCUACGGGGAGCAGCAGUAGGGAAUCUUCCGCAAUGGGCGAAAGCCUGACGGAGCAACGCCGGGUGAGUGAUGAAGGUCUUCGGAUCGUAAAACUCUGUUAUUAGGGAAGAACAAAUGUGUAAGUAACUAUGCACGUCUUGACGGUACCUAAUCAGAAAGCCACGGCUAACUACGUG